This 72-nucleotide transfer RNA is filed under the name Camelus bactrianus (Bactrian camel). It matches the Rfam family "tRNA". From Rfam's summary of the family: Transfer RNA (tRNA) molecules are approximately 80 nucleotides in length. Their secondary structure includes four short double-helical elements and three loops (D, anti-codon, and T loops). RNAcentral also lists the same sequence under 2 other names. Lineage: Eukaryota; Metazoa; Chordata; Mammalia; Artiodactyla; Camelidae. The record is from Rfam by way of RNAcentral.
GAGGGUGUAGCUCAGUGGUAGAGUGUAUGCUUAGCAUACACAAGGUCCUGGGUUCAGUCCCUAAUACCUCCA